UUUAUCUAAUUGCUGUUACUUCAGAUAUUUAUCCGUAUGGUAGAUCUCUCGAUCCCUUUACUUUUCCUGCAUGUUACCGAUUUCUUAGGUUUCGUAUAGCCUCUCGUGGAAUGUCAUUUAAGGUAGCGCGAUUCCUUCAUCUAGGACUGCCUUUUUGCAUGAGCAUCCCUAAACACCCCAAACUCAUUGAUUUUUCUUCUCCUAAGAACA
This 210-nucleotide long non-coding RNA is filed under the name Lathyrus oleraceus (garden pea). Its description in RNAcentral is "Pisum sativum (pea) long non-coding RNA (PSAT_LNC002266)". The record is from RNAcentral. Lineage: Eukaryota; Viridiplantae; Streptophyta; Magnoliopsida; Fabales; Fabaceae.